This 225-nucleotide long non-coding RNA is filed under the name Elaeis guineensis (African oil palm). Its description in RNAcentral is "long non-coding RNA (EGUI_LNC028975)". The record is from RNAcentral. Lineage: Eukaryota; Viridiplantae; Streptophyta; Magnoliopsida; Arecales; Arecaceae.
GUGUCCCCCCUACUCUAUCAAACCAACCGACACAUUUAUAUGAUUUACAUAUUUUAUAUAUUUGUGAAAGCAAAAUUUUAUGAACAAUGUGAUAUCAUUCAUGUUAUUUAAUCUGAUUCAUUUUUUUCUUAUUGGACUUGGAUUGGGCGAACCAGCUAGGGCACUACAGUGCUGGAUCCAAGGGCUACACCCAACAUUUUUUUUUUGGUUUUGCUGGGAUUCAUC